Molecule: transfer RNA, 71 nt
Filed under: Marmota monax (woodchuck)
Lineage: Eukaryota; Metazoa; Chordata; Mammalia; Rodentia; Sciuridae
Description: tRNA.Thr
Rfam family: tRNA
About the family: Transfer RNA (tRNA) molecules are approximately 80 nucleotides in length. Their secondary structure includes four short double-helical elements and three loops (D, anti-codon, and T loops).
Source: RNAcentral
GGGGUUGUGGCUCAGUGAUAGAGCACUUGCCUAGUAUGCAUGAGAUACUGAGUUCGAUUCCCAGCACCACA